CCUACGGUAGCAGCAGUGGGGAAUAUUGGACAAUGGGCGAAAGCCUGAUCCAGCCAUGCCGCGUGUGUGAAGAAGGCCUUCGGGUUGUAAAGCACUUUCAGUGGGGAAGAAAGCCUUGGGGCUAAUACCCUCGAGGAAGGACAUCACCCACAGAAGAAGCACCGGCUAACUCCGUGCCAGCAGCCGCGGUAAUACGGAGGGUGCGAGCGUUAAUCGGAAUUACUGGGCGUAAAGCGCGCGUAGGCGGUCUGAUAAGCCGGUUGUGAAAGCCCCGGGCUCAACCUGGGAACGGCAUCCGGAACGGUCAGGCUAGAGUGCAGGAGAGGAAGGUAGAAUUCCCGGUGUAGCGGUGAAAUGCGUAGAGAUCGGGAGGAAUACCAGUGGCGAAGGCGGCCUUCUGGACUGACACUGACGCUGAGGUGCGAAAGCGUGGGUAGCAAACAGGAUUAGAUACCCUGGUAGUC
This 464-nucleotide ribosomal RNA is filed under the name Vreelandella stevensii. Its description in RNAcentral is "partial 16S ribosomal RNA". It matches the Rfam family "Bacterial small subunit ribosomal RNA", at positions 338 to 795 of the family's 1533-position model. Lineage: Bacteria; Pseudomonadati; Pseudomonadota; Gammaproteobacteria; Oceanospirillales; Halomonadaceae. The record is from RNAcentral.